GUCUAUAGCCAUAACACUCUGAACAUGCCCUAUCUCAUCUGAUCUCGGAAGCUAAGCGGGGUGGGGCCUGGUUAAUACUUGGAUAGGAGAUAAAUAACAUUUCAAGAAACAAAAAAUG
Molecule: ribosomal RNA, 118 nt
Filed under: Microcebus murinus (gray mouse lemur)
Lineage: Eukaryota; Metazoa; Chordata; Mammalia; Primates; Cheirogaleidae
Source: RNAcentral